RNA transcript from Triticum aestivum (bread wheat), 2175 nucleotides. It is a transcript of the gene named probable serine protease EDA2, with no coding region annotated. Lineage: Eukaryota; Viridiplantae; Streptophyta; Magnoliopsida; Poales; Poaceae. The transcript is spliced from 15 exons. The record is from RefSeq and is a predicted model, not a curated record.
UGUUUUUUGCUUCGGAUUUGUGCGUGCCACUGAGACUAGUCAAUCGGCUACCGGCGCGGCUGCGCUCCAAAACAAACACUCGACAGAGGAAGGGAAGGAGAGUCUAGCAGCCGGAAAAAAUGGUGUCCCGCGCUGGGUUCGCCUCCCUCCUCGGCGCCUCCUUCCUCCUGCUCCUGCGCAGCGCCGAGCCGCUCGGGUUCAACCACCGCCCGACGACCGCCGGCGACGAGCUCUCGGCCGCCCCGAGCAGAUACCUGACGCGGGAGGAGCGCUGGAUGAGCCAGCGCCUCGACCACUUCUCCCCCACCGACCACCGCCAAUUCAAGCAGCGCUACUUCGAGUUCCUGGACUACCACGACGACCCUAACGGCCCGGUGUUCCUGCGCAUCUGCGGCGAGUCCUCCUGCGACGGCCUCCCCAACGACUACCUGGCCGUCAUCGCCAAGAAGUUCGGCGCGGCGGUGGUGACGCCGGAGCACCGGUACUACGGCAAGAGCUCCCCGUUCGACAGCCUCACCACCGACAACCUCAGGUUCCUCUCGUCCAAGCAGGCGCUCUUCGACCUCGCCGUCUUCCGCCAGUAUUACCAGGAAAAACUGAAUUCUCAGUACAACCGGAGCGCGGGGUUCGACAAUCCGUGGUUCGUCUUCGGGGUCUCCUACUCCGGGGCUCUCAGCGCAUGGUUCAGGCUCAAGUUCCCUCACCUGACAUGCGGAAGCCUCGCCAGCUCCGGGGUGGUUCUUGCUGUGUACAACUUCACUGAUUUCGACAAGCAGGUCGGAGAGUCGGCUGGCCCUCAGUGCAAAGCCGCCCUUCAGGAAAUAACUAGACUUGUCGACGAACAACUUCGGUCAGAUAGCCACUCGGUGAAGGCCUUGUUCGGAGCAGAUUCGUUGAAAAAUGACGGCGACUUCCUCUUUCUACUGGCAGAUGCAGCAGCCACAACAUUCCAGUAUGGGAAUCCUGAUGCCUUGUGCUCUCCUCUAGCAAAUGCGAAGAAAAAGGGGGAAAGUUUGGUGGAAACAUAUGCUCAUUUUGUGAAAGAUUACUUCAUUAAAAAAUUGGGGACUACAGUAUCUUCUUAUGAUCAAGAGUAUUUGAAGGAAACAACUCCCGAUGAUUCUAGUUCUAGACUUUGGUGGUUCCAAGUUUGCAGUGAAGUUGCCUAUUUUCAAGUCGCACCCAAAAAUGACAGUGUUCGUUCUGCGCAGGUCAAUACAAGGUACAAUUUGGACCUGUGUAAAAAUGUUUAUGGAGAAGGAGUUUAUCCUGAUGUGUUCAUGACAAACUUAUAUUAUGGAGGCACAAGUAUUGCCGCUUCUAAAAUUGUGUUUACAAAUGGCUCUCAAGAUCCAUGGCGUCAUGCCUCCAAACAGAAGUCAUCGGAAGACAUGCCAUCAUACAUAAUCAAAUGUAGCAACUGCGGACAUGGCACUGAUUUGAGAGGAUGUCCCCAGCUUCCUUUCAGGAUUGAAGGUGACUCUUCAAACUGCACGUCCCCAGAAGCUGUGAACACAGUAAGGAAGCAGAUCGUCAAGCACAUCGACCUGUGGCUAUCACAAUGCCAUGAACCAACAAGGGCGUGGUGAGGUGACGAUGACUCGUUCCUGUUUAGGAGGGGUAAAGGAAGCAGUAUGUAGAGGAAAGACCGAUUGCAAGUUUGCGACAUCGUUAUGCUGCAGAUCGAGUGAACCAUAUGCGGAUUGAGCAGCCAGUCCCCGGCCUGGAUGCGAUUGCGCGCAGGUCAUUUAUGACUCUCGGACAGUCAGAUGCAAUGCGUGCUUUUGAGACGGCCAGGUCCUCCGCAAGAGCUAAAGCUUCUCUCCACGCACACGCCUCCAGAGUAGCAGGUUCUGUCACACCUUGGAAUGCUACCGCGGACGCUCCCAGGAAUACGCCACGAUCACUUCGACAUACGACACCAACAGCAUUCGCUUGGGUCAUGGCGCCCCUGGUCCAGACAGCUUAACAAGGCUAUGGGCCUCUUGAUUCGAUACUCUCCCUUUAAAGAUGAAGACACAACUCUGAAAUUGAGUAGUAGUCGCUCUAAUCUCCUUCACAAUGCUCGCAUUCAUUCCUCCAUUGCCAAGAUUUAUGUCUUGAACAGCGUUUUUGCAGUCUGAAGCAAUCUCCACUGCAAGUAACGGCUAGUGAACAAGUAUACGGCUCAUGGGC